RNAcentral lists this unclassified non-coding RNA (335 nucleotides) under soil metagenome. Its description in RNAcentral is "partial contains 5.8S ribosomal RNA, internal transcribed spacer 2, and large subunit ribosomal RNA". The stretch from base 1 to 120 matches the Rfam family "5.8S ribosomal RNA", at positions 35 to 154 of the family's 154-position model. The record is from RNAcentral.
GAUGAAGAACGUAGCGAAAUGCGAUAAGUAAUGUGAAUUGCAGAAUUCAGUGAAUCAUCGAAUCUUUGAACGCACAUUGCGCCCGCCAGUAUACUGGCGGGCAUGCCUGUUCGAGCGUCAUUUCAACCAUCAAGCCCCCGGCUUGUGUUGGGGACCUGCGGCUGCCGCAGGCCCUGAAAACCAGUGGCGGGCUCGCUAGUCACUCCGAGCGUAAUAAUACAUCUCGCUCAGGGCGUGCUGCGGGUUCCGGCCGUUAAAAAGCCUUAUUUAUCCAAGGUUGACCUCGGAUCAGGUAGGAAGACCCGCUGAACUUAAGCAUAUCAAUAAGCGGAGGA